This 68-nucleotide transfer RNA is filed under the name Marmota monax (woodchuck). RNAcentral's name for it is "tRNA.Undet". The record is from RNAcentral. Lineage: Eukaryota; Metazoa; Chordata; Mammalia; Rodentia; Sciuridae.
GGAUUGUGGCUCAGCAGUAGAGCGCUCACCUAACACGCACAAGGCCCUGGGUUCGAUCCUCAGCACCA